Molecule: ribosomal RNA, 216 nt
Filed under: Glomeromycotina sp.
Lineage: Eukaryota; Fungi; Glomeromycota
Description: partial small subunit ribosomal RNA
Rfam family: Eukaryotic small subunit ribosomal RNA (bases 40-216)
Source: RNAcentral
GGGUCAGUAGGCUGGUCGUGCCACCGGUACGUACUGGUCUCACUGAUUCCUCCUUCCUGAAGAACCGUAAUGCCAUUAAUUUGGUGUUGCGGGGAAACAGGGCUGUUACUUUGAAAAAAUUAGAGUGUUUAAAGCAAGCUAACGCUUGAAUACAUUAGCAUGGAAUAAUGAAAUAGGACGAUCGAUCCUAUUUUGUUUGUUUCUAGGAUUGACGUA